CUGGCGAGCGGCUAUUCUCGGCGCUCGCAGGCUAUUUAUAGCUGGAGUGGAGCUGUUUCCAGCGGCGGAAUCUAGGAGACAUUUGGAGCUGAUCUGGUGUCGCGAGGACAGCUAUCGGCGAACCAGGCUCCGACAGAGGGUCCGUCGCUGCCCGA
This is a long non-coding RNA of Pollicipes pollicipes, 155 nucleotides long. RefSeq lists it as uncharacterized. The transcript has 3 exons. Lineage: Eukaryota; Metazoa; Arthropoda; Thecostraca; Pollicipedomorpha; Pollicipedidae. The record is from RefSeq and is a predicted model, not a curated record.